RNAcentral lists this ribosomal RNA (497 nucleotides) under uncultured bacterium. RNAcentral describes it as "partial 16S ribosomal RNA". It matches the Rfam family "Bacterial small subunit ribosomal RNA", at positions 28 to 507 of the family's 1533-position model. The record is from RNAcentral.
GAUGAACGCUGGCGGCGUGCCUAAUACAUGCAAGUCGAGCGAACAGACGAGGAGCUUGCUCCUCUGACGUUAGCGGCGGACGGGUGAGUAACACGUGGAUAACCUACCUAUAAGACUGGGAUAACUUCGGGAAACCGGAGCUAAUACCGGAUAAUAUAUUGAACCGCAUGGUUCAAUAGUGAAAGACGGUUUUGCUGUCACUUAUAGAUGGAUCCGCGCCGCAUUAGCUAGUUGGUAAGGUAACGGCUUACCAAGGCAACGAUGCGUAGCCGACCUGAGAGGGUGAUCGCCCACACUGGAGCUGAGACACGGUCCAGACUCCUACGGGAGGCAGCAGUAGGCAAUCUUCCGCAAUGGGCGAAAGCUUGACGGAGCAACGCCGCGUGAGUGAUGAAGGUCUUCGGAUCGUAAAACUCUGUUAUUAGUGAAGAACAAAUGUGUAAGUAACUAUGCACGUCUUGACGGUACCUAAUCAGAAAGCCACGGCUAACUACGUG